Molecule: long non-coding RNA, 381 nt
Filed under: Rhinopithecus bieti (black snub-nosed monkey)
Lineage: Eukaryota; Metazoa; Chordata; Mammalia; Primates; Cercopithecidae
Description: lncRNA (ENSRBIG00000045252.1)
Source: RNAcentral
CAACAGGUGCACACUCUGAGCCCCAAGGGAAGGGGCUGCACUCCACCUCCCUGCCCCGCUUGUUCUAUGUGUGUCCCUACAAGAAUACUCACCUCUUGCCUUCAGGUGGCAUUUUUCAAUGACGCGGGAGCCAGUGCCCAGGAAGAGCAAAGGGUGUGCUGCCAGCCCCUGGCUCACCCAGUGGCUUCAUCCCAAAGGACCCCAGGGACUGGGGAGUGACUUUAUGGAGGACAAAGUGGACCUGAAGGAGCCGGUGGAGUAACUAGAGCUUCGAUUCAUCCACCUCUCGGGACAGACACCAUAAGUGAGCGGGAGGCCAGGGUACGGCAGCGGGAGCUGCUGGGCUGUCAGAGGGCCCCAGCCUCUGAGCUCUGUCCUCCC